RNAcentral lists this ribosomal RNA (498 nucleotides) under Alternaria alternata. RNAcentral's name for it is "SSU rRNA". It matches the Rfam family "Eukaryotic small subunit ribosomal RNA", at positions 193 to 691 of the family's 1831-position model. The record is from RNAcentral. Lineage: Eukaryota; Fungi; Ascomycota; Dothideomycetes; Pleosporales; Pleosporaceae.
GGAAGGGGGUGUAUUUAUUAGAUAAAAAACCAAUGCCCUUCGGGGCUUUUUGGUGAUUCAUGAUAACUUUACGGAUCGCAUAGCCUUGCGCUGGCGACGGUUCAUUCAAAUUUCUGCCCUAUCAACUUUCGAUGGUAAGGUAUUGGCUUACCAUGGUUUCAACGGGUAACGGGGAAUUAGGGUUCGAUUCCGGAGAGGGAGCCUGAGAAACGGCUACCACAUCCAAGGAAGGCAGCAGGCGCGCAAAUUACCCAAUCCCGACACGGGGAGGUAGUGACAAUAAAUACUGAUACAGGGCUCUUUUGGGUCUUGUAAUUGGAAUGAGUACAAUUUAAACCUCUUAACGAGGAACAAUUGGAGGGCAAGUCUGGUGCCAGCAGCCGCGGUAAUUCCAGCUCCAAUAGCGUAUAUUAAAGUUGUUGCAGUUAAAAAGCUCGUAGUUGAAACUUGGGCCUGGCUGGCGGGUCCGCCUCACCGCGUGCACUCGUCCGGCCGGGC